CCUACGGGGGGCAGCAGUGGGGAAUUUUGCGCAAUGGGGGAAACCCUGACGCAGCAACGCCGCGUGAGUGAUGAAGGCCUUCGGGUCGUAAAGCUCUGUCAGAGGGGAAGAAAUGCAGGGGUGCUAAUAUCAUCUUUGCUUGACGGUACCCUCAAAGGAAGCACCGGCUAACUCCGUGCCAGCAGCCGCGGUAAUACGGAGGGUGCGAGCGUUGUUCGGAAUUAUUGGGCGUAAAGCGCGUGUAGGCGGUUUGGUAAGUCUGAUGUGAAAGCCCCGGGCUCAACCUGGGAAGUGCAUUGGAAACUGUCAGACUUGAAUACGGGAGAGGGUAGUGGAAUUCCUAGUGUAGGAGUGAAAUCCGUAGAUAUUAGGAGGAACACCGGUGGCGAAGGCGGCUACCUGGACCGAUAUUGACGCUGAGACGCGAAAGCGUGGGGAGCAAACAGGAUUAGAUACCCUAGUAGUC
Molecule: ribosomal RNA, 466 nt
Filed under: uncultured Geobacter sp.
Lineage: Bacteria; Pseudomonadati; Thermodesulfobacteriota; Desulfuromonadia; Geobacterales; Geobacteraceae
Description: bacterial SSU rRNA
Rfam family: Bacterial small subunit ribosomal RNA
Source: RNAcentral